GCAUAUCACUUAUCACGUAAUUGAUAUAUAAGUGCAUUAUCAUUAUUAUUACUAUUUUAAUUUCCUUUUGAGAAAGCAGAAUUCGGAUGAUCUGGAAAUAUUUCAUAAUGGAUACAAAGACCCGCUACCAACUGGGAAGGAAUUAGGUCUGGAGUUUCAAGGAGUGGGAAAUCUCCAUCAUAAUUAUCCUGCAAAACUUCUAAGUUAUCGAACUGGAGAAAGCAGCAGGUUCUUGAUCAAAUUUCUUUAAUAAAAUUAUUUUAUAAAUUAUUAGCGAUAUUUUAAUUAAUACUAUUCUAAAUUAAUUACUUAAUUUGUUUAGAUAAUAAAACUCAUUUGCCCAUGUAGUGCUGCUAUCUUGUACAAUGAAAAGCUGAAACAAGAAGUUAAGGAUGUUGUUUCUGCAGUACCGAUAUCAAAGAAAGGGAAGGAACACAUUGAAGGGUAGAUUUAUUAUGUAAUUGCAUAUAUAUAUAAAUAAUGUUCAUAUACAUACAUACAUACCCAGAUGGAUAUUCAUAAACAUACAUAUCCUGAUGGAUAUUUGUAUGUUAAUAUCAAUAGAACUUCUUAUAAGCAGUCAAAAAGUUUAUUCUAAUAAUAAUUAUAAUAAUUUAAAGCUGUUCAAUUAUAUAGUUGAUGAGGCUAGCUCCUCCUAUUAAGCUAAUUAAUAUUUUGUUUUCACGUAUCAUAGUGUUCUAUUUUUUUAGCCUUGAUGGCUUGGGAUAAACGACUCUAGAUUUCGUGUUUGUAUGUGAGCAGAUGCUGCAUUAAAAAAUACAACAUAUCACAUUAGAUUUCCAGUAGGGAGAGGGUUUACAAUUAACUCAUUGGGCAAGUUUAUCUGCAGCCUUCAUAAGCUCUCUUUAGCUACCAAAUUUACAGUGCAUGAAAGUAUCACCCAAAACUCUACUUUCUGCACUCUGUCGUCAAUCAACUAGUCAACCUUAUAGCUUUUGCAUGAGCUUUUAGCGAAUAGUAAGAUAGAGGAAUUUUUAAUGUAAAUUAAAGAAACACAAAAUAAGGUUUAAACGUAAGUCAUUUGAGGGAAGCUACCUUUAAAUGGCUAUCUAGAACUCACUUGAACAGGAAAUCAGUAAUUCAUUGUCUUCUUGUCCGUAGCAAAGCUAAUUCUUCAAGUCAUUUCUUACUCCUUUGAGGCAUCCAAUCAUCAAUAAUACAAAUGAGCUAACAUGAAUGCAGAUAAAUUUAUCAUGGAUUUUCUCUGAAGAUGUAACUACAUCUUGUCUAAAUUCUCUCUCCUAUUUUCCAAACACUACUCAUAAUCUAUUCUUUUUUCAAUUUUGAGACAAAUAUUCAACUAACCUUUGUAUCUAUAUCUACAUUAAUUUUAGUCGAUACAGCUACAGGGCAAUUGAAAAGCCCUAUAGUACGUAUAACUAAGACAAUUUCAUCUUAUUCAUCUAAACCCUUUUGAACAUUAUUUUGUAUAUACUAAUGUUAUUCAUAACUGCUUAAAAUAUUAUUAGUUGUUCAUUGUACUAUUAUAUCAUAAAAUGCCAUAUAUGUGUAAUAAGAUCGGGAACUAAAAAUGCUCGUAAUAUCCGAAACACAAAAUUUUAUAAACACUCUUCAUAAAACAUGUUUGAUCUAUAAGAAUCAUGAGAAAUGGCACCAUGAAAUUUAGAAAUAACUAUAAAUAUUGUAUUACCUAAAAGAAGAAGUUGAUCUCAAACAAAAUUUAUGAAAUUAAUAUUAUGACAAAAUAUGUUUGUAAUUGUUGGUAAUAAAAAUACUGGAUUGACUCUAUAUAAUUUUUUAAAAAUAAUAUUAUUAUUAUCAACUAAGGAUCCAUUAUGUUAGUUAUAAUUAAUUGAUAAUUAAGCUUAGCGUACUAUUUAUUUAUCUUAUGUACAAAUUUUUUAACUAUGAUAUUACAAAUAUAGGAUGACUUGCAUAUAUUCUGAAUACUAUAUAAAAAAUAGAAAGAUAAAUUAUCAAUGCAUAAUAAUCAAUCACUCUAAAUUAGGAUUCUAUUUAUUGGUAUGGAAAGAAUAUGAAAAUAUUAGACCUAACAAAAUCGAGGAUCGAAUUUGGAGAAAGAGUUUGAUUUAUUAUUAAAGUAGUCACCUCUUAAUAUAGUCACAACUAAAAUAAUCAUAAUGUUUUUUAAAAAUAAUUAAAAAUUAAUAAAAAAAUAUGAACAUGAUCAUGGUUUGAGAAGUGAGGUUUGUACACAAAAAUAAGAAACUAAGGAGAAAUAGAAAGAACUGAUAAGCAUGGAAUAGAAGUUUGCAUAUAAUAAUUGAGCAUUAAACCUUAAGACACUAAAAGCAAGGGUGCUAGCUCUUUUAUUGGAAUAGGUAGAGAUCUAGCAGAAAAAAUAUGAGCCAAACCUCAAACUAUUGGACCUGUGAUAGUGGUCAGAGUGGGCGCUGUAUCAUCUCACGAGCUACUAGAGUUAGGGAAGAAGUUGAAUGUGACGGAGAUGUUGACUUAGUGAAACGCUGGGUAGCAGAACAGCUGGACUUUCCACCUGCUGCAGUGGUGUUGUGAGUUUCAGGGGCGCUGGUCUUGGGAA
Molecule: long non-coding RNA, 2542 nt
Filed under: Carica papaya (papaya)
Lineage: Eukaryota; Viridiplantae; Streptophyta; Magnoliopsida; Brassicales; Caricaceae
Description: long non-coding RNA (CPAP_LNC008245)
Source: RNAcentral